GACGAACGCUGGCGGCGUGCUUAACACAUGCAAGUCGAACGGAAAGGCCCUGCUUGCAGGGUACGCGAGUGGCGAACGGGUGAGUAACACGUGGGUGUUCUGCCCUCCACUUCGGGAUAAGCCUGGGAAACUGGGUCUAAUACCGGAGAGGAGCCAUUUUUAGUGUGAGGGUGGGAAAGUUUUUUCGGUGUAGGAUGGGCUCGCGGCCUAUCAGCUUGUUGGUGGGGUAAGGGCCUACCCAGGAGGCGGCGGGUAGGCGGCCUGGGGGGGUGGACGGCCACCAUGGGGAUGGGGUACCGGCCCGGCUCCUACGGGGGGCAGCAGGGGGGAAUUAUGGAACAUGGGGGGAAGCCUGAUGCCGCGACCCCGCGGGGGGGGUGGACGGCCUCCGGUUGUUAAACCGUUUCGCUCGGGGACAAGCUUUGUGUGACGGUACCUAGUUAAGAAGCACCGGCUAACUACGUG
RNAcentral lists this ribosomal RNA (465 nucleotides) under uncultured bacterium. RNAcentral's name for it is "partial 16S ribosomal RNA". It matches the Rfam family "Bacterial small subunit ribosomal RNA", at positions 28 to 507 of the family's 1533-position model. The record is from RNAcentral.